Echinops telfairi (small Madagascar hedgehog) is the source of this 107-nucleotide small nuclear RNA. Lineage: Eukaryota; Metazoa; Chordata; Mammalia; Afrosoricida; Tenrecidae. The record is from Ensembl.
AUGCUCACUUUAGCAGCACAUAUACUGAAAUUGGAAUGACACACAGAAGAUUGGCAUGGCCCCUGUGCAAGGAUGACAUGCAAAUUCAUGAAGUGUUCCAUAUUUUU